Molecule: non-coding RNA, 4062 nt
Organism: Rattus norvegicus (Norway rat)
Lineage: Eukaryota; Metazoa; Chordata; Mammalia; Rodentia; Muridae
Source: RefSeq, a predicted model, not a curated record
CUGAGGAUAUGUAUUUCCUCGGUCUGUAUGUCAUUUGUAUGUAUGUUUUAAUGCUGAUCAUUAGGUAUUGGAUAACCAACUGGUGUCCUCUUCCCUGGAGAAGACUUUCUCCCACUCUCGGCAUUCCACAGUUGCCUGUAGUGUCUUUUGUAGUAGGAGUCUAUCUGAUCUUCACAGCAGAAGUGGAAACAGGGCCUAAGGCAUAAAUGUACUUUCAGACUCCUCUUUCCUCUCUGGCUGCACCCAUUGCGCCAUUGUCCUGGAGACCGGUGGAUGCCAUUGCUGCUGAAGUUCUGGGGAGGAGAGACAGAGAGACCUCACUGAAGGGGCAGGCUUGUCAUAGUGCUCUGGUCACAGAGCCCAGGGACAGGCUUUAGUAAAAUGAGAAGUUUCCUGUCUUCAAUCAUGCCAAACAUAAAUCCUUUUCCUUCAGCAGUCGUGACCUCUUGGUUUCCCUUUGAUGUGAUGCAGGCUAACAAUCUCCCACAGACAUCAUUGCUGUGGUCCUCAGAGCCAAGGCCGGCGGCCUGGUGUGGCUAGAGUGACGGAUGGGCUCUGAUGACGAGAGGUCCAAGGGAUUCUGGGUAAAAGGUACUUCUGAGGAGCCCAGAUGCAUGCUCUGACUCGCUUUUUUAUCUCUUGUUGUUGCUGUUAUUGUUAUUAUUAUUAUUAAUCAUUAAUUAUUCGUACUAGGGGUUGAAUUCUGGAUAAGCACUCUGGUAUUGGGCUACAUCUCCUUCCUUUUUUUUUUUUUUUUUUUUUUUUUUUUUUACCAUUUAUUUAGAUCCCCUUGCCCAGGUCGGUCUUGAACUCACUCCUUACUCCAAGCAAGCCUUGAACUCACAAUCCUCUUGCCUUGAUCUCCCAUCAAGUAAGAUUCCUUUCCUGUCCUGGCCCAACAGGCCUGGCUACAUUAGCUCUUGUAGUUGAUUACUGGCUUCUUUAUGUGAAGAUUAUGUUAGAGUUUGGGAACUGUGCUCAGCGUUAGAGUGUUUGCCUAGCAAACACAAGGCCAAUGGGCUUGGUUCCCAUCACCAGCAAGAAAGAAAAAAAAUGUCUUCAGACGCUGCCCUUUAAGCCACAGUCUCUUGAAAGCACUCGGUCCUCUACCUGAAAUGACCUGUCAGCCCUGUCACUGAUUGGCCUCAAGCAUCUGUGGAAAGCUCUGGGUCCAACGUCACCAUCUAAUGGAGACCUUCCCAGGCCCGGAUAAGGUGGGUUUCACAUCAUUCUGUCAGGACGGUGGUGUCUGUCUGCCCAGCUUCAUCUCCUCUGUUGUACCACACUGUCAGGGACCCUGCCGGAUAUCAGUGAGGAUCGCAUGGUCAUCAUAGAGGCUGUCGUACCUACAACGGGUUACUCUGUAUCCUGGCAUCUCUGCCAAGACCGAAAGAUCCCUGAGCACACGGAAUUUCCUUGUUUGUUUUGCACUCCCUACAGGGACCGCUUGUUUGUCACCUCAGGUGCCCUUUCUGAGACUGGAGUUGCCCUACCUGUGAGCAGAGGACCCGGGUCACAUCGCCUGCCCAGCAGUUUCUGACAGGAUUUCCUUUUUACCCUCCACUUGCUUUCUGUUUGUUUGGCUUCUGAGACAGUUUUGGUGUGUAGCCUUCAUAUUGCUACACAGCCUAGGCUGGCCCUGAGCUCAUGGCGGUCUUUUUGCCUCCCCCUCUGGAAUCCUAAAUAACAGAUGCAGCCCCACACACUGGUCUCCCUACUCUGCACAUUGGCGAGCACUGGACCUGAGACACAUGGCCCCACGGAGACACUCUGUAAAUGGGACACCACGGCCGCCUCCCGCCCUCCGUGGCUUGCUCCAUCUACCCUUUCCCGAUACUGUAAGAGAAACGUCUGAUAUAUUCCCCCUAGUUCUCAAAGAUUCCCUGUGAAUUUUUAAUGCAGCGGUGAAUUCCAUCAUGUUUUAUUCCUGAUCCGUCCUUUUUAAGUGGAGCAUUGUGGAUCUUGAGAGCCGUAAGAAAUGGGGGUGAGGUGGGGGGGGGGGCUGCAAGGAGGAUUGCUGUAGACCGGAGUCCUAGCUGUAAAUCCUGAAGUCAAAUUACCUUUGUGAACUAAAUGGUACCUGGGUUUUAUUCAAGUGAAAAUCUGGCCAAUUGACUGUGAUUUAGAAAGAUCACUCUUCCCCAUACUUCAAAUGCUCUGAAAUGGGCCCCGCCACCCCUUUUGCAAUAGCCUGGAGGAACUUAAUGCAAAUCAAGAUUGUAUUGUUUAGUCUGAAGCUAUGGAGGCUGACAGAAAAAUUGGACUGCAAGCAUAUCAAAUGCAGUGUUGAAGGUACGAACUGCUACUUGCCAUUCAAUAGGACACAGAAUUAAGACGGACUUACAGUGCUUACGGCGGGUCAGAUAAUAGGAGCAUAAAAAUCCUCAAGGUAGCUAAUGCACGGAGGAUUUUUGAAGUGCGUGUGCAUCAUGCGUGUGCAUGCACGAGAAGGUCAGAGGUCAACCUCUGAUGAUGUUCCUCAGGAAUCAUCUAUUUUGGGAUGGGCUCUCUCACUGGGGUGUGUGUAGACCUGACUGGCUGGCUGGUAAACUUCCAAGGCUCUGCCUUUCUCUACCUCUCUAGAGCUGAGAUGGCGGACACAGGUCACUUGGCCUACAUUUUCCUCCUAACUGUGGGAAUGGAUCGUCAUGGUUACAUAUGGGCCUAUGUCGCAGGCCUUGAUUUGGUCUCUAGUAAGCCAGACUGUGGCAUGUAGCACAUGGUGGGCCCUGAGCAACACAAGGAGACACCGAUCCACGGCCCUUUCCAUGCUCAAACUCUUACGAGCUCUGCUAAGUCGGAAAACCCUUUUCCAGGCUCCACAGACCUCUGAGACACAGGAGCUCCUUGCAAUCAAUCCUCCGGCUUCGAUGCUACAUUGUAACCAUUCUCAACUCCGGCUGCAGUAGAAUCAUACAGCGAGACUUUUUACUGGGCCUGCGCGUGGGAACUACUCCGCUCCAGUCAGAUCAAGUUCUCUGGAGAGCAGGCCGGCUAUGGUAGCUUUACAAAAGCUCACUACGUGGAGUAAAGAUGGCUCUGUGGUGAAGAGCAGUACUGUUCUUUCAGAGGGCCAGAGUUUGUUUCCCAGCACCCAAUCUAGGGAGACUCACAACUGCCUGGAACUCCAGCUUCAGGGGUAUCCAUCACCCUCUUCUGACCUCUGCUGAUAUUGUGUUCAUGCGCACAUGCCCACCCAUAGACAGACUCAUAAAUACAAUUAAAUCCAUAUGAAUAAAUAUAAUUAAAACUAAUAAAGAUAAAUCCUUUAAAAAUCCAGCUCAUCAGAUACACGUGUGUGUGUGUAUGUGUGUGUGUGUGUGUGUGUGUGUGUGUCUGUGUCUGUGUCUGUGUGUGUGUGUGUGUGUCCCUGUCCGUCCAUGUGUUGGGGUCAUAUGCAUACAUGUGAAUGUGCCUGGAGAUGUUCAUGGUGACCAGAGGUAAUGUUCUUUAGGAGCUGCCCACCUUGUUUUUUGACACAGGGUCUCUCACUGGGAUCUGGGACUAAUGGAGUAGACUAGGUUGACUGGCCAGCUAAUCUCAGAGAGCUACCUAUCACUUGGAAGUGCACAGAAUAAUGCCUGCCCUUUAAAAUGAAUGUCGGAGUUCAAACGCAGGUCUUGCAAGGCAAGUACUCUACCCAAGGCAUCUUCUCAAACCCUCCCAGAUGAUUUAACAUUCAACCUAGGUUGAGAACCACCAGAUCAACUGUCAUAAUUUCAAGGAGAGAGAGAAGAGGGGCGAGGAAGAGGAGGAGACAACGAAACCCCAGUGUUUCAACAAGUUUUUGAAACACUGAGCAGUCCUCCUCCACACAGACUCAGUGUACACUUUCGUGAGGAAUCAUUACCAGUAACUGAAAGACUGUCUCCUCUAUGGCUAGAGAGAUGGCUCAGUGGUUAAGAGUACUCCCUGCUCUUACAAAGGACCCAGGUCAGGUGUUUCACUGCUCCCUUCAGCAUCAAAAGAUCCAAUGUCUCUGGUCUACACAGACACGGUGUUUAUGUGCAUAUAACCAUACAUAUAAUUAAAAAUAAUAAAAAUAAAUAUUUUUUUAAAAAA